This 372-nucleotide long non-coding RNA is filed under the name Daucus carota (carrot). RNAcentral describes it as "long non-coding RNA (DCAR_LNC004174)". The record is from RNAcentral. Lineage: Eukaryota; Viridiplantae; Streptophyta; Magnoliopsida; Apiales; Apiaceae.
UCCCUCCCUCCCUUUCUCGCUCUAUCUCUCUCUAACUCUCUCUCCCCCCUCUUUCUAUGUUUUUGCUGACUCUCUCUCUCUCCGUGUUUCAAUUACCCUAAUUUUUUCAUUACUUUGUGUAUUUUUAAUUUUGUAGUGUAUAUGAUUUAAACUUUAAUCUGUGUUUGAAUUGUUGUUUAUGUAUUCUCUAGUACAUAGACUAAUACUUAAUCGAGCGUCCUAUUUUUUGGGUAAAUGAUUCUGCUCUGUUUUUUUUCUUUCCCUGCGCCUUUGUUGGAUUACAACUACAUUUUUCAAUUUAUGAAGAAUGCAUCAGAUUUUUCGUACAUGAUUCCUGCCUCUACUUGUUAUUUGCAGUUACGUGUUAUUUUU